GAGUUUGAUCCUGGCUCAGGAUUAACGCUGGCGGCAUGCCUAAUACAUGCAAGUCGAUCGGGUGUAGCAAUACACUAGAGGCGAACGGGUGAGUAACACGUAUCCAAUCUACCCCAUAGUGGGGGACAACKGACCGAAAGGUUAGCUAAUACCGCAUAAUAAAUGCAUUAUCGCAUGAGAAGCAUUUUAAAGGUCCGUUUGGACCGCUAUGGGAUGAGGGUGCGGCAUAUCAGCUAGUUGGUGAGGUAACGGCCCACCAAGGCGAUGACGUGUAGUUAUGCUGAGAGGUAGAAUAACCACAAUGGGAUGAGACACGGCCCAUACUCCUACGGGAGGCAGCAGUAGGGAAUUUUUCACAAUGGMUGAAAAAGUYUUGGAUGKGGGAAGCCCC
Molecule: ribosomal RNA, 391 nt
Filed under: uncultured bacterium
Lineage: Bacteria
Description: bacterial SSU rRNA
Source: RNAcentral